This 364-nucleotide transfer-messenger RNA is filed under the name uncultured Companilactobacillus sp. It matches the Rfam family "transfer-messenger RNA". From Rfam's summary of the family: Bacterial tmRNA, also known as 10Sa RNA or SsrA, is named for its dual tRNA and mRNA-like properties. Its role is to liberate the mRNA from a stalled ribosome. To accomplish this part of the tmRNA is used as a reading frame that ends in a translation stop signal. The record is from RNAcentral. Lineage: Bacteria; Bacillati; Bacillota; Bacilli; Lactobacillales; Lactobacillaceae.
GGGGGUGUUCUGGAUUCGACAUGUGUAGUAGCGUGUGAGUUGCACUUAGGGCCUUGCGUCCCUUUAAAACGCACAGUUUAUUAUAACUGCAAAAAAUAAUAAUUCUUACGCAUUAGCUGCCUAAAAACAGUCUAAGCGUGAUCCAGUCUAACUUCGCCCAAGGGUUGGAAAUGGGUCUCAAAUUAAUUGGGCUACGUUUGACUACGCAUUCUGAAUAGUUAAAAAGAGAUUAAUCAGGAUAGCCGCUGUGGCUAGCCGAGUUGUAUGGCGUUCAUGGUGGCGAAAUUAUAAAUAAUACAACUAUGAGUGUAGAAGCUUGCAUAGCAUUACGCUUGGACAGGGGUUCAAUUCCCCUCACCUCCAU